Molecule: ribosomal RNA, 433 nt
Filed under: uncultured bacterium
Lineage: Bacteria
Description: partial 16S ribosomal RNA
Rfam family: Bacterial small subunit ribosomal RNA
Source: RNAcentral
AACGAACGCUGGCGGCAGGCCUAACACAUGCAAGUCGAGCGAGGACUUCGGUCCUAGCGGCGGACGGGUGAGUAACGCGUGGGAACGUGCCCUUUGCUUCGGAAUAGCCCUGGGAAACUGGGAGUAAUACCGGAUGAGCCCUUUGGGGGAAAGAUUUAUCGGCGAAGGAUCGGCCCGCGUUGGAUUAGGUAGUUGGUGGGGUAAUGGCCUACCAAGCCGACGAUCCAUAGCUGGUUUGAGAGGAUGAUCAGCCACACUGGGACUGAGACACGGCCCAGACUCCUACGGGAGGCAGCAGUGGGGAAUCUUAGACAAUGGGGGAAACCCUGAUCGAGCCAUGCCGCGUGAGCGAUGAAGGCCUUAGGGUUGUAAAGCUCUUUCAGCUGGGAAGGUAAUGACGGUACCAGAAGAAGAAGCCCCGGCUAACUCCGUG